Molecule: ribosomal RNA, 310 nt
Filed under: Klebsiella pneumoniae
Lineage: Bacteria; Pseudomonadati; Pseudomonadota; Gammaproteobacteria; Enterobacterales; Enterobacteriaceae
Description: bacterial SSU rRNA
Rfam family: Bacterial small subunit ribosomal RNA
Source: RNAcentral
CCACACUGGAACUGAGACACGGUCCAGACUCCUACGGGAGGCAGCAGUGGGGAAUAUUGCACAAUGGGCGCAAGCCUGAUGCAGCCAUGCCGCGUGUGUGAAGAAGGCCUUCGGGUUGUAAAGCACUUUCAGCGGGGAGGAAGGCGGUGAGGUUAAUAACCUCAUCGAUUGACGUUACCCGCAGAAGAAGCACCGGCUAACUCCGUGCCAGCAGCCGCGGUAAUACGGAGGGUGCAAGCGUUAAUCGGAAUUACUGGGCGUAAAGCGCACGCAGGCGGUCUGUCAAGUCGGAUGUGAAAUCCCCGGGCUC